AGUAAGGUCGUCGAAUCCACAUCAAAGGAGGGUCCUAAUCUAAAUAAGUUGGGGAAAUUUGAUAAAUCGGGUCUUUUAAGAAUGAUAUAUAUGCAUUGAAAAUUUCUAUUCAAUAUCCAAAUAAUGCCUCACCGCUAAUAGUUUAUGCGGACUUUAUACCGUACCAUCGCAGCAUGUCUAUUAGUGCAACUGAGGAGUGAAGACUACGACAUUGGGAUAUAUAAUUAUAUGAUGUAGCAUGCGUUCAUUAGAACUUCUUAUAUGUAACUAGCUAUAAAUAAAUUAAUGGUUCUUGAAUUCUUGUUACAAUAUUGGUUGCAGUAUGAUUUUUUAUCUUCUACUUCUUGAAAUGUCCAUGGGCCAUGAAGCAGCACGUAAUAGUUAACAGACAAACAACUUCGGAUG
This 405-nucleotide long non-coding RNA is filed under the name Trifolium pratense (red clover). RNAcentral describes it as "long non-coding RNA (TPRA_LNC002291)". Lineage: Eukaryota; Viridiplantae; Streptophyta; Magnoliopsida; Fabales; Fabaceae. The record is from RNAcentral.